CCAGCCGUAAACGAUGGAUACUAGGUGUGGGGGGUAUCGACCCCUCCCGUGCCGGAGUUAACGCAAUAAGUAUCCCGCCUGGGGAGUACGGCCGCAAGGUUGAAACUCAAAGGAAUUGACGGGGGCCCGCACAAGCGGUGGAGUAUGUGGUUUAAUUCGACGCAACGCGAAGAACCUUACCAGGACUUGACAUUGAGUGAAAAGCUAAGAGAUUAGUUCCCUCUUCGGAGCACAAAAACAGGUGG
Molecule: ribosomal RNA, 245 nt
Filed under: uncultured bacterium
Lineage: Bacteria
Description: partial 16S ribosomal RNA
Rfam family: Bacterial small subunit ribosomal RNA
Source: RNAcentral